Molecule: ribosomal RNA, 355 nt
Filed under: uncultured bacterium
Lineage: Bacteria
Description: bacterial SSU rRNA
Rfam family: Bacterial small subunit ribosomal RNA
Source: RNAcentral
AACGAACGCUGGCGGCAGGCCUAAUACAUGCAAGUCGAACGGGCGUAGCAAUACGUCAGUGGCGGACGGGUGAGUAACACGUGGGAACAUGCCUUUCGGUUCGGAAUAACGCAGGGAAACUUGCGCUAAUACCGGAUGACCCGGCGACGGAAAAGAUUUAUCGCCGAAAGAUUGGCCCGCGUAGGAUUAGCUAGUUGGUGAGGUAACGGCCCACCAAGGCGACGAUCCUUAGCUGGUUUGAGAGAACGAUCAGCCACACUGGGACUGAGACACGGCCCAGACUCCUACGGGAGGCAGCAGUAGGGAAUCUUGGACAAUGGGGAACCCGUCAUCCAGCCAUGCCGCGUGAGUGAUG